Molecule: ribosomal RNA, 451 nt
Filed under: uncultured soil bacterium
Lineage: Bacteria
Description: bacterial SSU rRNA
Rfam family: Bacterial small subunit ribosomal RNA
Source: RNAcentral
GGAGCGAACGCUGGCGGCAGGCCUAACACAUGCAAGUCGAACGGACUCUUCGGAGUUAGUGGCGGACGGGUGAGUAACACGUGGGAACGUGCCUUUAGGUUCGGAAUAGCUCCUGGAAACGGGUGGUAAUGCCGAAUGUGCCCUUCGGGGGAAAGAUUUAUCGCCUUUUAGAGCGGCCCGCGUCUGAUUAGCUAGUUGGUGAGGUAAAGGCUCACCAAGGGCUACGAUCAGUAGCUGGUCUGAGAGGAUGACCAGCCACAUUGGGACUGAGACACGGCCCAAACUCCUACGGGAGGCAGCAGUGGGGAAUCUUGCGCAAUGGGCAAAGGCCUGACGCAGCCAUGCCGCGUGAAUGAUGAAGGUCUUAGGAUUAGUAAAAUUCUUCAGUAGGGACAUAAUGACGUACUACAGAAGAAGCCCGCUACCGUUCGUCGCCGAGCCUACGCCCGAC